AUGGACGGGUGCGCCGCCGCUCAGUACAAGGUGGGCGGGCUGGACGCGUGGGGGGUGCCGCCGUCCAGCAAGCCGGACGUGUAUGUGCGGUGGGCCAAGUCCGUCCCCGUCAAGCUCGGCGACGCCCUCUUCUUCCUCUACCCACCCAGCCAGGACAGCGCCGUGCAGCUCACCGCCAAGGCCUUCGCCGCCUGCGACGUGUCCGACCCGCUGCUCAAGCUGGAGGACGGCAACUCCUUCAACCUCACCAAGCCCGAGCGGGCCUACUUCAGCAGCGCCGCCCCGGGGCGCUGCCACAAGGGCCAGAAGUUCAAGCUGCGAUGA
RNAcentral lists this ribosomal RNA (324 nucleotides) under Triticum aestivum (bread wheat). RNAcentral describes it as "partial small subunit ribosomal RNA". Lineage: Eukaryota; Viridiplantae; Streptophyta; Magnoliopsida; Poales; Poaceae. The record is from RNAcentral.